GAAACAUUCGGCAUGGGUGCCUUCCCUUCUGGCCCCUCCCCUGAGAAAGGAGCCUUUGUGUCUUUCCCUGCCCAUGGGAUCUGCAGCCCUCCCUUGAAGAAGAGAACUCGGCAGUUGCCAAUGGGAUGCAAUUCCGACAGCGACCAAGUCAACUGAGACAAUAAAGGAAUGGGGAGAGCUGCACAUUUACACGAAAAUCUUGAGAGGAUUGUGGAGUAGUGGAUGAAAUCCCUGAAGCAGCUCAGAGAGGGCUCCUGUCAUUUGCAAUAAACUCUCUGCUCAGCCAGGGAAUUCCUGUGGGGCCUCUACUUGACUGCACAAAGCAUCCAUUACACCAAAGAUUGUGAGGGCUUGUACUCAAGACUUUAUUUAUUUGUUUGUUUGUUUGUUUGUUUGUUUGUUUGUUUGUUUGUUUGUUUGUUUGUUUGAUCAUAUUUUUAUACCACCCAAAACUUAUGUCUCUGGGUGGUUUACAACAAAGCAAAACAAAUGACAAAAGAAAAGGUUAAAACAUCACAACAAUUAAAAUUUUUA
Hemicordylus capensis (graceful crag lizard) is the source of this 534-nucleotide long non-coding RNA. RefSeq lists it as uncharacterized. The transcript is spliced from 3 exons. The record is from RefSeq and is a predicted model, not a curated record. Lineage: Eukaryota; Metazoa; Chordata; Lepidosauria; Squamata; Cordylidae.